Molecule: ribosomal RNA, 440 nt
Filed under: uncultured bacterium
Lineage: Bacteria
Description: partial 16S ribosomal RNA
Rfam family: Bacterial small subunit ribosomal RNA
Source: RNAcentral
CCUACGGGAGGCCGCAGUAGGGCAUAUUGCUCAAUGGGGGAAACCCUGAAGCAGCAACGCCGCGUGGAGGAUGAAGGUUUUCGGAUUGUACACUCCUUUUGUUAGAGAAGAUAAUGACGGUAUCUAACGAAUAAGCACCGGCUAACUCCGUGCCAGCAGCCGCGGUAAUACGGAGGGUGCAAGCGUUACUCGGAAUCACUGGGCGUAAAGAGCGCGUAGGCGGGAUAGCAAGUCAGAUGUGAAAUCCUAUGGCUUAACCAUAGAAUUGCAUUUGAAACUGUUAUUCUAGAGUAUGGGAGAGGUAGGUGGAAUUCUGGGUGUAGGGGUGAAAUGCGUAGAGAUCAAGAGGAAUACUGAUUGCGAAGGCGACCUGCUAGAACAUAACUGACGCUGAUGCGCGAAAGCGUGGGGAGCAAACAGGAUUAGAUACCCCAGUAGUC